CCUACGGGUGGCAGCAGUGAGGAAUAUUGGUCAAUGGGCGCGAGCCUGAACCAGCCAAGUAGCGUGAAGGAUGACUGCCCUACGGGUUGUAAACUUCUUUUAUAAAGGAAUAAAGUGAGGCACGUGUGCCUUUUUGUAUGUACUUUAUGAAUAAGGAUCGGCUAACUCCGUGCCAGCAGCCGCGGUAAUACGGAGGAUCCGAGCGUUAUCCGGAUUUAUUGGGGUUAAAGGGAGCGUAGGUGGGUUGUUAAGUCAGUUGUGAAAGUUUGGGGCUCAACCCUAAAAUUGCAAUUGAUACUGGCAGCCUUGAGUACAGUUGAGGUAGGCGGAAUUCGUGGUGUAGCGGUGAAAUGCAUAGAUAUCGCGAAGAACUCCGAUUGCGAAGGCAGCUUACUAAACUGCCACUGACACUGAUGCUCGAAAGUAUGGGUAUCAAACAGGAUUAGAUACCCGAGUAGUC
This 460-nucleotide ribosomal RNA is filed under the name uncultured bacterium. RNAcentral's name for it is "partial 16S ribosomal RNA". It matches the Rfam family "Bacterial small subunit ribosomal RNA", at positions 338 to 795 of the family's 1533-position model. The record is from RNAcentral.